Molecule: ribosomal RNA, 292 nt
Filed under: uncultured bacterium
Lineage: Bacteria
Description: partial 16S ribosomal RNA
Source: RNAcentral
GGACUACAGGGGUUUCUAAUCCCGUUUGCUCCCCUAGCUGUCGCACAUGAGCGUCAGGUGCCAUCCAGGAAACUGCCUUCGCCUUUGGUGUUCUUCCGAAUCUCUACGCAUUUCACCGCUCCACUCGGAGUUCCGUUUCCCUCUCUGGCCCUCAAGUCACGCCGUCUUCGGAGCACUCUCCCAGUGAAGCCGGGAGCUGUCACCCCAAACGCGCGCGACCGCCUGCGUGCCCUUUACGCCCAGUAACUCCGGACAACGCUCGCCCCCUACGUAUUACCGCGGCUGCUGGCAC